Molecule: ribosomal RNA, 511 nt
Filed under: Cytobacillus firmus
Lineage: Bacteria; Bacillati; Bacillota; Bacilli; Caryophanales; Bacillaceae
Description: bacterial SSU rRNA
Rfam family: Bacterial small subunit ribosomal RNA
Source: RNAcentral
GCCCGUUGGCGGGCGUGCCUAAUACAUGCAAGUCGAGCGGACGGAUGGGAGCUUGCUCCCUGAAGUCAGCGGCGGACGGGUGAGUAACACGUGGGCAACCUGCCUGUAAGACUGGGAUAACUCCGGGAAACCGGGGCUAAUACCGGAUAACUCUUUUCCUCACAUGAGGAAAAGCUGAAAGAUGGUUUCGGCUAUCACUUACAGAUGGGCCCGCGGCGCAUUAGCUAGUUGGUGAGGUAACGGCUCACCAAGGCCACGAUGCGUAGCCGACCUGAGAGGGUGAUCGGCCACACUGGGACUGAGACACGGCCCAGACUCCUACGGGAGGCAGCAGUAGGGAAUCUUCCGCAAUGGACGAAAGUCUGACGGAGCAACGCCGCGUGAGUGAUGAAGGUUUUCGGAUCGUAAAACUCUGUUGUCAGGGAAGAACAAGUACCGGAGUAACUGCCGGUACCUUGACGGUACCUGACCAGAAAGCCACGGCUAACUACGUGCCAGCAGCCGCGGUAAU